AGCGAACGCUGGCGGCAGGCUUAACACAUGCAAGUCGAGCGGGCACUUUCGGGUGUCAGCGGCGGACGGGUGAGUAACGCGUGGGAACGUGCCCUCUGGUUCGGAAUAACUCAGGGAAACUUGAGCUAAUACCGGAUACGCCCUUUUGGGGAAAGGCUUGCUGCCGGAGGAUCGGCCCGCGUCUGAUUAGAUAGUUGGUGAGGUAACGGCUCACCAAGGCGACGAUCAGUAGCUGGGCUGAGAGGAUGAUCAGCCACACUGGGACUGAGACACGGCCCAGACUCCUACGGGAGGCAGCAGUGGGGAAUAUUGGACAAUGGGCGCAAGCCUGAUCCAGCCAUGCCGCGUGAGUGAUGAAGGCCUUAGGGUUGUAAAGCUCUUUUAUCCGGGACGAUAAUGACGGUACCGGAGGAAUAAGCCCCGGCUAACUUCGUG
RNAcentral lists this ribosomal RNA (435 nucleotides) under uncultured bacterium. RNAcentral's name for it is "partial 16S ribosomal RNA". It matches the Rfam family "Bacterial small subunit ribosomal RNA", at positions 29 to 507 of the family's 1533-position model. The record is from RNAcentral.